This 572-nucleotide ribosomal RNA is filed under the name uncultured fungus. Its description in RNAcentral is "eukaryotic LSU rRNA". It matches the Rfam family "Eukaryotic large subunit ribosomal RNA", at positions 62 to 648 of the family's 3401-position model. Lineage: Eukaryota; Fungi. The record is from RNAcentral.
AAACCAACGGGGAUUACCUCAGUAACGGCGAGUGAAGCGGUAACAGCUCAAAUUUGAAAUCUGGGUCUUUCAGGCUCCGAGUUGUAAUUUGUAGAAGAUGCUUCGGGUGCGGCUCCGGUCUAAGUUCCUUGGAACAGGACGUCAUAGAGGGUGAGAAUCCCGUAUGUGAUCGGUUGCUUGCGCCCAUGUGAAGCUCUUUCGACGAGUCGAGUUGUUUGGGAAUGCAGCUCAAAAUGGGUGGUAAAUUUCAUCUAAAGCUAAAUAUUGGCCAGAGACCGAUAGCGCACAAGUAGAGUGAUCGAAAGAUGAAAAGCACUUUGGAAAGAGAGUUAAACAGUACGUGAAAUUGUUGAAAGGGAAGCGCUUGCAACCAGACUUGCGCGUUGCCGAUCAUCCGGGGUUCUCCCCGGUGCACUCGGCCUCGCUCAGGCCAGCAUCGGUUUUGGUGGUGGGAUAAAGGCCUUGGGAAUGUAGCUCCUUUCGGGGAGUGUUAUAGCCCUCGGUGCAAUGCCGCCUACCGGGACCGAGGACCGCGCUUCGGCUAGGAUGCUGGCGUAAUGGUUGUAAGCGAC